GCCUACGGCUCAACCGUAGAACUGCAUCCAAAACUAUUUAGCUAGAGUGUGGGAGAGGAAGAUGGAAUUAGCUGUGUAGGGGUAAAAUCCGUAGAGAUAACUAGGAAUACCAAAAGCGAAGGCAAUCUUCUGGAACAUUACUGACGCUGAGGCGCGAAAGCGUGGGGAGCAAACAGGAUUAGAUACCCUGGUAGUCCACGCCCUAAACGAUGAAUGUUAGUCGUCGGGUAGCUAGUCUAUUCGGUGAUGCAGCUAACGCAUUAAACAUUCCGCCUGGGGAGUACGGUCGCAAGAUUAAAACUCAAAGGAAUAGACGGGGACCCGCACAAGUGGUGGAGCAUGUGGUUUAAUUCGAAGAUACGCGAAGAACCUUACCUAGCCUUGACAUAUUUAAGAAUCCGAUAGAGAUAUUGGAGUGCCUUCGGGAGCUUUCUUACAGGUGCUGCACGGCUGUCGUCAGCUCGUGUCGUGAGAUGUUGGGUUAAGUCCCGCAACGAGCGCAACCCUCGUCACUAGUUACUAACGGUUCGGCCGAGGACUCUAGUGAGACUGCCUUCGUAAGGAGGAGGAAGGUGAGGACGACGUCAAGUCAUCAUGGCCCUUACGGCUAGGGCAACACACGUGCUACAAUGGCCAGGACAGUGAGACGCGAUACCGUGAGGUGGAGCAAAUCUAUAAACCUGGUCUCAGUUCGGAUUGUAGUCUGCAACUCGAUUACAUGAAGCUGGAAUCACUAGUAAUCGUAGAUCAGCUAUGCUACGGUGAAUACGUUCCCGGGUCUUGUACUCACCGCCCGUCACACCGUGGGAGUUGAUUUCACCCGAAGCGGGGAAGCUAAACUGGCUACCCUCCACGGUGGAAUUAGCGACUGGGGUGAAGUCGUAACAAGGUAACC
Molecule: ribosomal RNA, 895 nt
Filed under: uncultured bacterium
Lineage: Bacteria
Description: bacterial SSU rRNA
Rfam family: Bacterial small subunit ribosomal RNA
Source: RNAcentral